RNAcentral lists this unclassified non-coding RNA (367 nucleotides) under Hevea brasiliensis (rubber tree). The record is from RNAcentral. Lineage: Eukaryota; Viridiplantae; Streptophyta; Magnoliopsida; Malpighiales; Euphorbiaceae.
GGAAAGUUCAAGACGAAGUGGUGUUUUAGAUUCAUCUGCUCCUUGGGAGAAUAUGGGCCUGCCUAAUCUUGAGCAGUGGACAUCUUAUCAAUCUGAUGUUGAUACUGAAAUACUCAUUAGAUGGCUAAAAGAGCAUGACCCGAGAGAGAGAGAAUUGAAGGAGUCUAUUUUGCAGUGGCGGGAUACUAGAAAAAUGAUAUACUACUAUUUGGAAAGUCAUGGCCAUGACACGGUAGGACUGAACACUUCAAUUCCCUCUGAGGAUUCUGGUUCCUGUUUCAAUUCUGAUUCUCUCGUCACCAGAGCCGUUACUGCAAUUAAAAAGAUGGUUAGUGGGUGCUCAACAGAAGAGGAAACGGGAAUCUGC